UACAUAAAUAGAGGUGCAGGGAAAAGGGUAGUUUUGGGUGAUAAGGAUAAGAACAUCCAAUACCAAAUACGAAUGGUUUCCUUGCCGAAAGAAUAUAUUAGUUCUUUAAUAUAUUCUUGGUUAUAAAGCAAAAUACUUUAUAACUGCUAUGAAGUAUUCAUAGAGAGCUAUUUAUGUA
RNAcentral lists this non-coding RNA (178 nucleotides) under Alkalithermobacter paradoxus. RNAcentral's name for it is "Clostridium thermoalcaliphilum Lysine sequence". It matches the Rfam family "Lysine riboswitch aptamer". Rfam says of the family: Riboswitches are metabolite binding domains within certain messenger RNAs that serve as precision sensors for their corresponding targets. Allosteric rearrangement of mRNA structure is mediated by ligand binding, and this results in modulation of gene expression. Lineage: Bacteria; Bacillati; Bacillota; Clostridia; Peptostreptococcales; Tepidibacteraceae. The record is from Rfam by way of RNAcentral.